Molecule: ribosomal RNA, 565 nt
Filed under: Streptomyces sp. 424A07
Lineage: Bacteria; Bacillati; Actinomycetota; Actinomycetes; Kitasatosporales; Streptomycetaceae
Description: bacterial SSU rRNA
Rfam family: Bacterial small subunit ribosomal RNA
Source: RNAcentral
UAGUGGCGAACGGGUGAGUAACACGUGGGCAAUCUGCCCUUCACUCUGGUGACAAGCCCUGGAAACGGGGUCUAAUACCGGAUAUGAGCCUGGGAGGCAUCUCCCGGGUUGUAAAGCUCCGGCGGUGAAGGAUGAGCCCGCGGCCUAUCAGCUUGUUGGUGAGGUAAUGGCUCACCAAGGCGACGACGGGUAGCCGGCCUGAGAGGGCGACCGGCCACACUGGGACUGAGACACGGCCCAGACUCCUACGGGAGGCAGCAGUGGGGAAUAUUGCACAAUGGGCGAAAGCCUGAUGCAGCGACGCCGCGUGAGGGAUGACGGCCUUCGGGUUGUAAACCUCUUUCAGCAGGGAAGAAGCGAAAGUGACGGUACCUGCAGAAGAAGCGCCGGCUAACUACGUGCCAGCAGCCGCGGUAAUACGUAGGGCGCAAGCGUUGUCCGGAAUUAUUGGGCGUAAAGAGCUCGUAGGCGGCUUGUCACGUCGAUUGUGAAAGCCCGAGGCUUAACCUCGGGUCUGCAGUCGAUACGGGCUAGCUAGAGUGUGGUAGGGGAGAUCGGAAUUCCU